CAGCGUGCCCUCACGCGUCUGCGCUUCGGCGCCGGCGUCAUCAUCCAGCCCCCCAUGUUUCUGCUGCCCGAGGUUUCUGUGAGAAAGGCGGCGGGGGAGCGCUGCCAAAGGUUUUCCCCUUCCCUUCCUCAGCAUAAUCGCCCCGUCUCCGCUGGGGAUUUGGUGGCGAAAGGAAUGCGUGGGAAGAGCCGGAGGGCUUGGGAUUUGGCUUGUGGCGAAGCGCAAGUUGUUAAUGGGAAAAUCUCCUCGUGGGCUGCCGUGUCGCAGCCUGCCCCCGCGCAGCAGAGCGAAACUCCCCAGCCGAAAAGCCGCCUUUCGCCCAGGUGUGCGUCACCGCUGCCUGGCGCCUCGGGAGGGGACGCGCGGGGCGGCUUCGGGCAGGGCGAGAGCGGGAAGGCUGCCGCCGCGACGCCGCCUCCCGGGGCGGAAAGGGUUAAACUGCUCGGCUGGAGAAUGAGCUGAAGAUCAAGCCCGCAGCCUGGUGACCUCCAGCUGCUGCGAGAGCGAGCGGCAGCCGGAGCCGAAGAGCGAAGAGCGGCGUGUCGGCGGCGCUGCCUGCGGGGAGGCAGCAGCGGGCAGCGGUGCCAGUUCCCUCUGAACUCCUUCCUCUACUCCUUAAAAGCCUAGAAAAAUAGACAAACUUUUAUUCUGAACAACCAGUCGGACUGUUUUAGACAAAAAAAAUGAGGUGAGUUCUGCAAUGAGACACACUCGCAGAGCAUGUCCUGUCGUCGCUCUUCCAGCACGUGCUGUCCGGGUUUCCGUGUGGUCGUCUCCACCGAUCGCAGCUGCCGCAGGAUGGCAAAAAGCACGAGCAGCCUUCCUCCAGGGCGGUUCAGCCUUCCUCCGGGGCGGUUCAGCCUUCCUCCAGGGCGGUUCAGCCCGCGUCAAACCCGGGACGCUGGAUUCCAGCUGAGAGGCUCUCUGGGCUCCAAAGCAACAGCAGAAUUGUAUGUUCUGGCAAAACACUGCCUCUGCCAGAUGGAUGGCUGCUUUUGGCACCAUUUUCAGCUCCUGGAUACAUCUAUAAUGCAGCGAGGCCGCUACAUUUGAAAGAAAAACUGUAUUCUUCCAAGCACGUAGAGAUGGAAGAAAUGUCCCAGUCAAGUCAAAACUGCUACUAGAAGCAACUGCUGCCUAAACAGACUUUCAAAUGAUGAAUUUCAGUACAAAUUCCAGGCAAAAUCUUACAAUAUCCAGCGUAUUUCUGGUGAUUUCUCAGCCUAAAGACACCCCUCUGUCCGAUUUGGAUCGAACUGCUGCUGUGUGCUCUCCUACUGCUGCCUUUAUCCAGCCCUGGAAACACAAGCAGGAGGAAAAAGAAGCUGGAAAAACUCAGAACAAGCUGCAUCAAAUGUCCUAGCUGGCAUUUCUGUAACGCAGCACUUCUUCGCCUUCCAUGUAGUUGCUGGGUAGGGGAAAAAAGAAAAGCCUGGUGAUGCAAUCCAUUGAAUUCAUGCUUUGACUUGAACAACUUGUCUUGGUUUUGCCUCACUUGGUAGAGAGCGUGGUAGUGAAAGAAGAGGCUGAAUGACUGCUCCAUCAAUAGCGGUGCAAAUACUUCUAUUGUCUUUUAAAACUCGGUAAAUAAUCUGCCAGGAGGAGGAAAUGUGUGGUAUGUUUGGAAAGCUUCGACGUGCAAGAGCCGGCACCGCUCCCCGGGCCCGGGACGGGGCUGGCCACCUGCCGUCACGCUCGCGAGGGGCAGCGGCCACGGGAAGCCUGGGAAGCUGUCGGCCUUCGUGGCUUCGGAGAAACUGCGCUCCUAACUACGUGGAGCCCCAGUGGUAACGUCACUGGAUGCACACGUACGUCCCCGCGGCGGUGUCAGGAUUAGCAGCCUUGGUGUUUUGAAUAUGCUGUAAUUUUUAAUGGCCUUUGUGGCACCCGGCUUUUGUUGCAAAGGACAAUGCUGUCCUGUGUUUGGAUGAGAGUAUUACAUGCCAAAAACUUAUAAAUAUUUAAAAUAUCCUGAUACAUUUCUAAAGCUAACCGGGUGCUAUAGUCCCUGGCCUAGCUGAGCUUUUCCGAGCUGUUGCCCUGGCAGCUCCCGGGUACAGCCCUUACGGCACAGCGGGUCUGACAGAGCCUUUGCAAAGGAUGAAGGCACCUUGCUGGCUUUUCACAGCACAUGUCUGCUGAGAUGUAAGGCAUCCUCAAAGCCAUUUGUGUCGCAUUAGUUGUAGUGUGGGAAAACUCAGCGUUCCUCGUGUAUUCACACUGCUGAAAUCUUUAAAAUUAGCCGUUUCUAAUUGCAGAGAUCAGCAGAGGAGCGGUAACUCACACCCUAGCCAUGGUGGAGAAAAGCCCUCUACCUGCGAAGCCCCGAUCCAGACUGAUCGGCCACCACCGAUUCCCGCUCUAAUAAAACCAUGCAACGUCAGAUUAACA
Molecule: long non-coding RNA, 2391 nt
Organism: Dromaius novaehollandiae (emu)
Lineage: Eukaryota; Metazoa; Chordata; Aves; Casuariiformes; Dromaiidae
Exons: 2
Source: RefSeq, a predicted model, not a curated record